Molecule: non-coding RNA, 20 nt
Filed under: Arabidopsis thaliana (thale cress)
Lineage: Eukaryota; Viridiplantae; Streptophyta; Magnoliopsida; Brassicales; Brassicaceae
Source: RNAcentral
UCAUUAGUACAAUAGUCCAG